UACGAAGGGGGCUAGCGUUGCUCGGAAUCACUGGGCGUAAAGCGCACGUAGGCGGCUUUCUAAGUCAGGGGUGAAAUCCUGGAGCUCAACUCCAGAACUGCCUUUGAUACUGGGAAGCUCGAGUCCGGAAGAGGUGAGUGGAACUCCGAGUGUAGAGGUGAAAUUCGUAGAUAUUCGGAAGAACACCAGUGGCGAAGGCGGCUCACUGGUCCGGUACUGACGCUGAGGUGCGAAAGCGUGGGGCAAACAGG
Molecule: ribosomal RNA, 251 nt
Filed under: uncultured bacterium
Lineage: Bacteria
Description: partial 16S ribosomal RNA
Rfam family: Bacterial small subunit ribosomal RNA
Source: RNAcentral